Molecule: ribosomal RNA, 306 nt
Filed under: uncultured Metarhizium
Lineage: Eukaryota; Fungi; Ascomycota; Sordariomycetes; Hypocreales; Clavicipitaceae
Description: partial large subunit ribosomal RNA
Rfam family: Eukaryotic large subunit ribosomal RNA
Source: RNAcentral
AUAUCAAUAAGCGGAGGGAAAGAAACCAACAGGGAUUGCCUCAGUAACGGCGAGUGAAGCGGCAACAGCUCAGAUUUGGAAUCCGGCCCUAGGCCCGAGUUGUAAUCUGCAGAGGAUGCUUUUGGUGCGGUACCUUCCGAGUUCCCUGGAACGGGACGCCAUAGAGGGUGAGAGCCCCGUCUGGUCGGAUACCAAUCCUCUGUAAAGCUCCUUCGACGAGUCGAGUAGUUUGGGAAUGCUGCUCUAAAUGGGAGGUAUAUGUCUUCUAAAGCUAAAUAUUGGCCAGAGACCGAUAGCGCACAAGUA